This 405-nucleotide ribosomal RNA is filed under the name uncultured bacterium. RNAcentral describes it as "partial 16S ribosomal RNA". It matches the Rfam family "Bacterial small subunit ribosomal RNA", at positions 30 to 526 of the family's 1533-position model. The record is from RNAcentral.
AUUGAACGCUGGCGGCAGGCCUAACACAUGCAAGUCGAACGAGUGGCGGACGGGUGAGUAAUGCUUGGGAAUCUAGCUUAUGGAGGGGAUACCUACGGGAAACUGUAGCUAAUACCGCGUACCAUAGGAUGAGCCCAAGUGGGAUUAGCUUGUAGGUGAGGUAAAAGCUCACCUAGGCGACGGUCUCUAGCUGGGCUGAGAGGAUGAUCAGCCACACUGGGACUGAGACACGGCCCAGACUCCUACGGGAUGCAGCAGUGGGGAAUAUUGCACAAUGGGCGCAAGCCUGAUGCAGCCAUGCCGCGUGUAUGAAGAAGGCCUUAGGGUUGUAAAGUACUUUCAGCGGGGAGGCGUUACCCGCAGAAGAAGCACCGGCUAACGCCGUGCCAGCAGCCGCGGUAAUUC